UACGGAGGGAGCUAGCGUUAUUCGGAAUCACUGGGCGUAAAGCGCACGUAGGCGGCUUCUCAAGUCAGGGGUGAAAUCCUGGAGCUCAACUCCAGAACUGCCUUUGAUACUGAGGGGCUCGAGUCCGGGAGAGGUGAGUGGAACUGCGAGUGUAGAGGUGAAAUUCGUAGAUAUUCGCAAGAACACCAGUGGCGAAGGCGGCUCACUGGCCCGGUACUGACGCUGAGGUGCGAAAGCGUGGGGAGCAAACAGG
Molecule: ribosomal RNA, 253 nt
Filed under: uncultured bacterium
Lineage: Bacteria
Description: partial 16S ribosomal RNA
Rfam family: Bacterial small subunit ribosomal RNA
Source: RNAcentral